Molecule: ribosomal RNA, 178 nt
Filed under: Lysinibacillus sp. SG9
Lineage: Bacteria; Bacillati; Bacillota; Bacilli; Caryophanales; Bacillaceae
Description: 16S rRNA. Bacterial SSU
Rfam family: Bacterial small subunit ribosomal RNA
Source: RNAcentral
CUGGCUCAGGACGAACGCUGGCGGCGUGCCUAAUACAUGCAAGUCGAGCGAACAGAGAAGGAGCUUGCUCCUUCGACGUUAGCGGCGGACGGGUGAGUAACACGUGGGCAACCUACCUUAUAGUUUGGGAUAACUCCGGGAAACCGGGGCUAAUACCGAAUAAUCUGUUUCACCUCAU